Molecule: small nuclear RNA, 108 nt
Organism: Camelus dromedarius (Arabian camel)
Lineage: Eukaryota; Metazoa; Chordata; Mammalia; Artiodactyla; Camelidae
Source: Ensembl
GUGCUCACUUCGGCAAGUACAUAUACUAAAAUUGGAACGAUACAGAGAAGAUUAGCAUGGCCCCUGUGCAAGGAUGACAGGCAAAUUCGUGAAGCAUUCCAUAUUUNA